GAAAAUAUUAGAGGAGAAAUAAUGGAAUCUCCUUUUCCCCCAGAACAAACAAUAAGUUUGAAUCAAAAUACUGAAGCUACCCCUUACCUUAGCCUUCAGUUACAAAGAGUUGAACAAAGUCAAGUUACUCUUAAGGAAUUAAAUUCAGUUAUCAGGUCUCAAAAUUAUACCAAUGCUUAUCUUGUUUGCUUAGGAGAACAAUUUAUCUCCAUGGAAAAAGAUCUCUUAUCAAUAAAAGACCUUUUAGAAAAGCAAAUAGAGCGUCAAGAUAUCAUUAUAAAC
RNAcentral lists this long non-coding RNA (282 nucleotides) under Lathyrus oleraceus (garden pea). Its description in RNAcentral is "Pisum sativum (pea) long non-coding RNA (PSAT_LNC010470)". The record is from RNAcentral. Lineage: Eukaryota; Viridiplantae; Streptophyta; Magnoliopsida; Fabales; Fabaceae.